RNAcentral lists this ribosomal RNA (466 nucleotides) under uncultured bacterium. RNAcentral's name for it is "partial 16S ribosomal RNA". It matches the Rfam family "Bacterial small subunit ribosomal RNA", at positions 28 to 507 of the family's 1533-position model. The record is from RNAcentral.
GAUGAACGCUGGCGGCGUGCUUAACACAUGCAAGUCGAACGGAAAGGCCCAAGCUUGCUUGGGUACUCGAGUGGCGAACGGGUGAGUAACACGUGGGUGAUCUGCCCUGCACUUCGGGAUAAGCCUGGGAAACUGGGUCUAAUACCGGAUAGGACCACAUUUUGGAUGGUGUGGUGGAAAGUUUUUCGGUGUGGGAUGAGCUCGCGGCCUAUCAGCUUGUUGGUGGGGUAAUGGCCUACCAAGGCGUCGACGGGUAGCCGGCCUGAGAGGGUGUACGGCCACAUUGGGACUGAGGUACGGCCCAGACUGCGAAGGGAGGCAGCAGUGGGGAAUAUUGCACAAUGGGCGCAAGGCUGAUGCAGCGACGCCGCGGGGGGGAUGACGGUCUUCGGGGUGUAAACUCAUUUCGCUAGGGACGAAGCGUUAUGUGACGGUACCUGGAGAAGAAGCACCGGCUAACUACGUG